RNAcentral lists this ribosomal RNA (250 nucleotides) under uncultured prokaryote. RNAcentral's name for it is "partial 16S ribosomal RNA". It matches the Rfam family "Bacterial small subunit ribosomal RNA", at positions 524 to 774 of the family's 1533-position model. The record is from RNAcentral.
UACGAAAGGGGCAAGCGUUGUUCGGAAUUAUUGGGCGUAAAGGGGGUCUAGGCGGACCGUUAAGUUACUUGUAAAAGCACGGAGCUCAACUCCGUGAAGCAGGUGAUACUGGCGGACUAGAGUACGUGAGAUGUGAACGGAAUAAUAGGUGUAGCGGUAAAAUGCGUAGAUAUCUAUUAGAACACCGGAGGCGAAGGCGGUUCACAUGCGCGCAACUGACGCUGAAGCCCGAAAGCGUGGGGAGCAAACA